UGCGGCCGGUGUCGGCGGUGUGAGAUCUGACGGCCUCGAGGAGGCGGAGGGCGCCGGUGGCGACGACGUCGGCGGUGUAAUCGGGGAUCUCGAAGGAGACGGCGACGUGGGACUGCGCGGCGAGGUUGUAGACCUCGUCGGGCUUGAUCACGUCGAGCCAGCGGCGGAGCGAGGAGGCGUCGGUGAGAUCGGCGUAGUGGAGCUUCAUCAGAGCCUUGUCAGCGUUGUGCGGGUCGAUGUAGAUGUGGUUGAUCCGCUGGGUGUUGAAGUUGGUAAGGUUGCUGCUGAGCAUCCAUGUAACCAGCAUCAACAAGCACUUUCUCCCUCUUAGCAAGCUCAAGGUCUUCAUCAACCAUCAUCUUCACAAGCUUCUCAAACCCCACUUUGGGUUUCCACCCCAACACUUGCUUGGCCUUGCUAGCAUCUCCUUUCAAGUUAUCCACUUCAGACGGCCUAAAGUACCUCUUAUCAAUCUCCACGUGAUCCUUCCAGUUCAGCCCCAAGUACCCAAACGAAACCUCGAGAAACUCCUCAACCGUAUGCGACUCCUCCGUCGCCACAACGUAAUCAUCCGCCGCCUCCUGCUGCAGCAUCAUCCACAUCGCCUCCACGUAGUCCCCCGCGAACCCCCAGUCCCUCGAAGCUUGUAGGUUCCCGAGGAAGAGCUUCCUCUGCAAACCCACCUUGAUCCUCCCCAAGGCUCUCGUGAUCUUCCUCGUCACGAAGUUCUCUCCGCGGCGAGGCGACUCGUGGUUGAACAAGAUCCCGUUGCACGCGAAGAGACCGUACGCCUCACGGUAGUUAACAGUGUACCAAUGCGCAGCGACUUUGGACGCUGCGUAAGGGGACCUGGGGUGAAACGGCGUCGUUUCGGACUGAGGAGGCGGAGUCGCUCCGAACAUCUCGGAGGAUCCCGCCUGGUAGUACUUGACGGUGCGGCCGGUGUCGGCGGUGUGAGAUCUGACGGCCUCGAGGAGGCGGAGGGCGCCGGUGGCGACGACGUCGGCGGUGUAAUCGGGGAUCUCGAAGGAGACGGCGACGUGGGACUGCGCGGCGAGGUUGUAGACCUCGUCGGGCUUGAUCACGUCGAGCCAGCGGCGGAGCGAGGAGGCGUCGGUGAGAUCGGCGUAGUGGAGCUUCAUCAGAGCCUUGUCAGCGUUGUGCGGGUCGAUGUAGAUGUG
RNAcentral lists this long non-coding RNA (1181 nucleotides) under Brassica napus (rape). Its description in RNAcentral is "long non-coding RNA (BNAP_LNC002855)". The record is from RNAcentral. Lineage: Eukaryota; Viridiplantae; Streptophyta; Magnoliopsida; Brassicales; Brassicaceae.